Molecule: ribosomal RNA, 1203 nt
Filed under: Thamiocolus kraatzi
Lineage: Eukaryota; Metazoa; Arthropoda; Insecta; Coleoptera; Curculionidae
Description: partial 16S ribosomal RNA
Source: RNAcentral
UAAAAAAAUUAUUAUUAGGUUUUUCAGUUAUUUUUUAAUAAAAAAAAUAAUUUUAAUUUUAUUAAUAAGUAUGAAUAAAUUAAUUUAAUAAUAGAGUAUUAGUAUUGAAAAAGGAUUGAUUUAUUUUAUAAUAAGAAUAGUUAAGUUUUAGUACCUUGUGUAUCAGGGUUUAUUAAAAAAUAUUUUUUAAUGAAAAAUUUCUCGAACUUAAAAGAUCUAUAUUUGUAUAGUUUUAAUUGUUGAAUAAAUUUUACACAUAUUAAUAUAGAAAUGAAACGUUAUUCGAUUUUAAAUAUAUCUAGUUUUUAAAGAAACAAAUUUAAUUUUAUUUUUAUGUAAGUAUUGAUUUAAAUCUAUAGAUUAAUACUAAUAAAAAUUAAUAUUUUAGGGGAUGAGCUUUAAAAUAAAUCUAUAAAAAUUUAUAUUUAAAUAUUUAGUAAGUAGGAUUAUAAGUUUUUACCUUUAUUAGUGUUUUAUUACUAUCUAAAUUAAUAGUAUUAUUUAUAUGCAUAUAUUUUUUAUAUACUUUAUUUAAAUUUAAAUUUUAAUAUGAAAAAUUUAGUAAUAAUGAUAAAAUUAGUAUAAUAAAUUUGUUUAUAAAAUUUAUAUAAUAAAGGUUUUAUAAAGGAAUUCGGCAAGUACAUUUUUCACCUGUUUAUCAAAAACAUGGCCUUUUGAUAUUUAUUUAAGGUCUAACCUGCUCAAUGAGUUUUAAAUAGCCGCAGUAUCUUAACUGUGCAAAGGUAGCAUAAUCAUUAGUUUUUUAAUUGAAAGCUGGAAUGAAAGGUUGAAUGAGAAAAUAGCUGUCUCUAUAAAAAUUUUAUAGAAUUUUAUUUUUAAGUAAAAAAGCUUAAAUUUCAGUAAAAGACGAGAAGACCCUAUAGAGUUUUAUAUUUAUUAAAGAUAAUUAUUUUUAGUAUUUUCAAAUUUAUUUUUUAUAGUAUUUAAUUGGGGUGAUUAGAAAAUUUAAUUAACUUUUCUUUUAUAAGUACAUUUAUUUAUGAAAAUAUGAUCCUUUAUUUAGAUUAUAAGAUUAAAUUACCUUAGGGAUAACAGCGUAAUUUUUUUUUAGAGUUCUUAUCGAAAAAAAAGAUUGCGACCUCGAUGUUGGAUUAAAAUGAAUUUUUGGUGUAGAAGCUAAAUUAAUUAGGUCUGUUCGACCUUUAAAAUUUUACAUGAUCUGAGUUCAAACCGGUGUAAGCC